Molecule: ribosomal RNA, 762 nt
Filed under: uncultured Serratia sp.
Lineage: Bacteria; Pseudomonadati; Pseudomonadota; Gammaproteobacteria; Enterobacterales; Yersiniaceae
Description: bacterial SSU rRNA
Rfam family: Bacterial small subunit ribosomal RNA
Source: RNAcentral
UUGGAGCAUACCGGGGCGAAGGCGUCCCUUGGUCGAAGAUUGACGUUCAGGUGAGAAAGCUUGGGAGCAAACAGAAUAGAUACCUUGGUAUUCCCCGCUUUAAACGAUGUGCAUUUGGAGGUUGUGCCCUUGAGGUGUGGCUUCCGGAGCUAACGCGUUAAAUCGACCGCCUGGGGAGUACGGCCGCAAGGUUAAAACUCAAAUGAAUUGACGGGGGCCCGCACAAGCGGUGGAGCAUGUGGUUUAAUUCGAUGCAACGCGAAGAACCUUACCUACUCUUGACAUCCAGAGAACUUUCCAGAGAUGGAUUGGUGCCUUCGGGAACUCUGAGACGGGUGCUGCAUGGCUGUCGUCAGCUCGUGUUGUGAAAUGUUGGGUUAAGUCCCGCAACGAGCGCAACCCUUAUCCUUUGUUGCCAGCGGUUCGGCCGGGAACUCAAAGGAGACUGCCAGUGAUAAACUGGAGGAAGGUGGGGGUGACGUCAAGUCAUCAUGGCCCUUACGAGUAGGGCUACACACGUGCUACAAUGGCAUAUACAAAGAGAAGCGACCUCGCGAGAGCAAGCGGACCUCAUAAAGUAUGUCGUAGUCCGGAUUGGAGUCUGCAACUCGACUCCAUGAAGUCGGAAUCGCUAGUAAUCGUAGAUCAGAAUGCUACGGUGAAUACGUUCCCGGGCCUUGUACACACCGCCCGUCACACCAUGGGAGUGGGUUGCAAAAGAAGUAGGUAGCUUAACCUUCGGGAGGGCGCUUACCACUUUGU